CUUCCUGAACUCUUUUAUCUGUACAUCUUGUUUCUCAUAUUCUGCUUCCUUAAUACUUUUAGAAACCAGGGCCUUCUUGAUGCAUGGACAUCUUUAAUGAUCAUUUGUGUCCCCUUUAAUGCAGCUGUUUACAUGUAGGCUAAACAUUUUUCUUAGUUCUCAUAGCUCAGUUGGAAAUGAUAAUGACUCGGUGGCGUUGAAACUGAUGUAAAGUGUUAGGUAGGUUUGGCAAUACAAAUCUCUCGGUGCAUGUGAAACCUAUCAAGUAAUGAACUUUUGAGACCAUCACCUUCUUGUGUACUGAAUUGGUAGUAAUGGUAUUUCAAUACAUCAACUUCACAUGCAAGAAAUAGUAGUGGACCCACAUGGAGGUGUCCCAAGACCACUUGACACUUGUUCUGUUCCGUAAGAAUGGCCUUCAAGUUAAUGUUUUUCAUUUUCAUUUUCAUUGUCAUGAUAAAUAAUAGUUCAUCAUAUAAUGCUGUGAGACGACAUUGUCCAAAGAUAUGAAUCUUCAGUUUUUGAAGUUUGUCUAAAUUAGCUUAAACAUGACUUUGUGACUGCUCGAAGCAAUCAUUCUAUAGCACCUGUCCAAUCUGUCAAGCGUACUUGGGAAUUUUUUUCUUGAUGGAUGUUGAAAGAAAAAGUGAAAAUUCAAGUAUUGUUGUUUAUUGUCAAGAAAGAUUGGACACCUUCUAUAGUUUGAGUGCUAAUUUUUCAUUACUUCAUAUGUUCAAGAUUGAAUUAUUGUCUAAAGACAAAACUGUGCAAACUAAAACAACAAAAGUGAUAAACAAGAUGUCAACUAUAAAGUCAUUUUCAAACAGUAAAACAAAAGAAAUCAUUUUGAUGUACUUUCGAUCAAGGUCACAAAUGAAGCUCAAGCGGAAAAUGUCCUAUUUGGAGAUGUUGGUGCAAUCCCAGGUGAAGGAAAAGAUCUAAAAUUGGUGGACGCCCCUGUUUCUGGUCAUGUUAAAAGAGCUGCUGAGGGAAGUCGAUGACUUCUCAUAUGGAUGUGGACAGGCUUUAAAGAGUUACGGACUUAUUAAUGUGCAAGAAGAAGAAUCUUAUGGUGAUAUAUCGUUGAAGUUGACUCCUACAUUUUCAGAGGCGCAAAUUUGGUUUCACUUAUAAAUGAGGUCUUGGACCAAGUGAAGAUUGAAUCUGGUAAGAUUGAGAUUGAGGAUGUGCAGUUUGAUCUAAGGGCCAUAUUGGAUGAUGUCGUCUCUCUUCUCGGGGAAAUCUCAAGAAAAAGGAGUGGAGAAGUUGAUUGGUGAUCCGGGGAGAUUUCGGCAGAUCAUCACAAAUCUUAUGGGGAACUCAGUUACAGUAAGCUAUUUAAGAGUGGUUCACACAUUUUCUGAGAACUUUGUUUUUGAAUCUCAAGCCGCCAUUAUAAUUCUUGAUCUUCCUUCAAUAAUCAGGAAAAUUGUACUUAUUAUCAUCUUGAUAUAUAAAAAUAUUGCCAAUGACUUGAUCAUUCAGGAGGUCACAUGGAUUGGCUCCUACGUUACAAUAUUUACAAUCUAUCCCGCAUCCAUGUCAUCUAAAUAGCUAAUGUAUCUAUUAUGGUUUUCCCUACCUGAUGUUCGUGUCGAUUGUCAUUAAGGUUUUCCCUACCUGAUGUUCAUGUGCUAUGAAGCGUGCAAGAGGAUUAUGGUUGAGGACGAUAAAGAGGCGUAACCACAUAUUUGACAAGAAGAAAUACAAGGUCUUUUGCUAUGGAUCAUCGACAGAAAGAGUGGAUAAAGAUGACUAUUUUGUAUACUAUGAUUUUUUUUUUUUUGGUCAGAUGUAUACUGCGAUUGAAUGGUUUAGUUUAUGUUUUUUUCUUUUGCUCAUACGAUUUCUUAGAAGAAUUCUUCAAGGAAGUUCUUGUUACCAAGGUUGGUUCUACAUGCACUCGCAAAGAUA
Eucalyptus grandis is the source of this 1914-nucleotide long non-coding RNA. RefSeq lists it as uncharacterized. The record is from RefSeq and is a predicted model, not a curated record. The transcript is spliced from 3 exons. NCBI's taxonomy places the organism in Eukaryota, Viridiplantae, Streptophyta, Magnoliopsida, Myrtales, Myrtaceae.